GACGAACGCUGGCGGCGUGCUUAACACAUGCAAGUCGAACGGAAAGGCCUGCUUUCCCUUGUGGAUUGCGGGUGCUCGAGUGGCGAACGGGUGAGUAACACGUGAGUGAUCUGCCCCCAACUUGGGUAUAAGCCUGGGAAACUGGGUCUAAUUCCCGAUAGGACUGCAGGGUGGUGCCUGUGGUGGAAAACGAUUUUCUAGUGGUUGGGGAUGAGCUCGCGGCCUAUCCGCUUGUUGGUGGGGUAAUGGCCUACCAAGGCGGCGACGGGUAGCCGGCCUGAGAGGGUGGACGGCCACAUUGGGACUGAGAUACGGCCCAGACUCCUACGGGAGGCAGCAGUGGGGAAUAUUGCACAAUGGGCGGAAGCCUGAUGCAGCGACGCCGCGUGGGGGAUGACGGCCUUCGGGUUGUAAACUCCUUUCGACCGCGAGGAAGCCACCUGGUUGGAAGGGUGGUGACGGUAGUGGUAGAAGAAGCACCGGCUAACUACGUG
Molecule: ribosomal RNA, 494 nt
Filed under: uncultured bacterium
Lineage: Bacteria
Description: partial 16S ribosomal RNA
Rfam family: Bacterial small subunit ribosomal RNA
Source: RNAcentral